Molecule: ribosomal RNA, 484 nt
Filed under: uncultured bacterium
Lineage: Bacteria
Description: partial 16S ribosomal RNA
Rfam family: Bacterial small subunit ribosomal RNA
Source: RNAcentral
AUUGAACGCUGGCGGCAGGCCUAACACAUGCAAGUCGAGCGGAUGAAGGGAACUUGCUCCUGGAUUCAGCGGCGGACGGGUGAGUAAUGCCUAGGAAUCUGCCUGGUAGUGGGGGAUAACGUCCGGAAACGGGCGCCAAUACCGCAUACGUCCUGAGGGAGAAAGUGGGGGAUCUUCGGACCUCACGCUAUCAGAUGAGCCUAGGUCGGAUUAGCUAGUUGGUGGGGUAAAGGCCUACCAAGGCGACGAUCCGUAACUGGUCUGAGAGGAUGAUCAGUCACACUGGAACUGAGACACGGUCCAGACUCCUACGGGAGGCAGCAGUGGGGAAUAUUGGACAAUGGGCGAAAGCCUGAUCCAGCCAUGCCGCGUGUGUGAAGAAGGUCUUCGGAUUGUAAAGCACUUUAAGUUGGGAGGAAGGGCAGUAAGUUAAUACCUUGCUGUUUUGACGUUACCAACAGAAUAAGCACCGGCUAACUUCGUG